GGGGCGGAGCGCCGCGGGCCAGGGGCGGAGAGAGGCGGGUGCGCGUGCGCACUGUGCGCGAGGAUGCGCGUGGUCGUGCUGCUUGCGGCCGCUGCUGCCGCCGCCGCGUACCGGAGCGGUGCUGUGGCGGUUCCUUGGCGCGUGUCUCGCGCCUCUUUGUUUCCCGCCCUUUCCAGGCACGCGACGCGCUGCUGAGGAGAGUGCAGCGCGCUGCGCUGACUCCUGACCCCUGCUUCAAGUGUACUUCUGCGGGGUUUCUUUUAGUAAAAACAACAGAGAUCAGGCUUUUUCCUCCUGCCCCUUCGUUUUCAGCUGUCUGCUUACCUGUUGUUGCCUCGCAGCGCUCGCAGGUCAUGAAUCCAGGAAGCACCACAACAAGAGAAGAUAACCAUGAAACCCCUGGAGAUGGAAAUGUCAUUGCUUCUAGGCCUUGUUUCUGUUGCUGUUACAAAUCAGACUGCUGCCAAGAGGCGAUCCAGGUGCUGCAAGAGAAGCAGCUUAAAUCACCAGAGCAACCUCAGUGUCCAAAGUGGAAGAACUCAAGGGAGAAUUUGUAUCACAAGGUGACCCUGAGGAACAGCAAGCAUUGUGGAAAAAAAGGAAUGAAACUCAGCCUUCAGGAUGACAGGAGGGGGUGAGAUUCACUUCUCUAUCUUGAAAUAAUAAUGGAAUAAUCAUGAUGACACAGAUGACAAGAGACCUCAAUUUUCCAUGCCACUUGCAUAAAGAUGCCUGAAGAUCUUGAUGUGAGCCAGAAUUGCUGGUCUGCUGCAAGAAUCCUCACUGCCACUGCAAGCUUAAGUAAGAUUUUGGAUCUGGGAAUUUCUGGGGGUUUCUUCCCAUAUUCCUGGCAGCUCUGAAAAGUUACUGCAUUUUUUCAAAUGUCACUGAACAAACAAACAUGUAUUGCUAAAGUUCUUUGAGUGAACAGCAGGACGCAGAGCAACAGAUAAUAUCAAAGAGACUGGGUAAAUUCCACCUUCUGCUCCAAGGGCCGUCAUAGGACAGCCUCAAAUCACACAGGAAAAAUAACCAAUCUCAGCUAAUCCCAGCUUCAUAGCACAGUCAAUAAAAGCCAUGCUCUGUCAGACUGCAAUGUCUUUAUUAUUUCAUGUGGCUAGUCAAUGCAGAUGAAUUACUUGUGAGGACAUGGUGGGAAUGGAUUGGGUUGUUUCCUGUCUAUUUCAUUUCUGGUUGAAUUAAUGACUGAUAAAAAACAAGGAAAAGUCUGAAGGCUAUAGGAUUUCAUCGCUUUCUUUUUUGAAUUAUAGUCUAUUAUCUACAGGCUCCACCUAACACAGAUAGCCUUGGACUUCAGUAAGGGGGAAGGAGGGGAAUUGUCUGUUAAUGCAGGCAGGGAGGCAGAGUGCUGAAAUUUGAGAUUCAUGAAGUCUAGUUUUAUUACUUUGAAUAAAUCUUAAUAAGGACAUAAAAAUUAUUAGGAAACGCCUCAGAAUGUGUUUUCAACCAGUGGAUCAGCAGGAGAUGAAAAUAAUGAAUAUAUUAUGAGCUGUAAAAUUAUGUAACUUGUAAAAAAGUAUUUUUAGGAAACUUUAAUAAUGAAAUAUGUAAAAGCUUAAGUUGAAGAGUGUGGGCCGAGCUUUUGAAGAUGUCUAACAAAUGAAUACUUCAGUCUGCCUGGAGCCUAAGGAAGGGGCAGGGAUGGCUGAGCAGUGCUGUGAGUUGCAGCCUGGGCUCUGUGCGGCACUCAGGUGGUAGGGGAGAGCUCAGAUGUCCCUGACCAGCAACCAGCAAGGGGCAGGAAUGCAUUGAGCCCCAUAGAUCCAGGAGCUCUGUAGAACUACUGAAGCGCCUCAUUCACAGGGACUGCAGCCAGAUUAAGUCCAUGAUCAAACAAAAAUGUCACAAAAUGCUUGCCUCAGCAAAGCAGGGAAGAGAAGAAACGGAAGGAGUGUACAUAUACAUAAGCAUAGCAAAGCAAAAGUGUUUUUACUUUUGUGUCAUUGGGUGUCUCACUUAUCCCAGCACGUGGGUCAAUCCAGCAGCCAGCAGAUGGUUUUUGAGUCACAGUAGUAGUGAAAGUCUUAACUUUCAUAUGGGAACUAACAUAAAUAAAGACUGAUCAUCAGAUGUAAAGUGAGUUCUUGGACACCUGAUCAUGUACUUUGACAGGCUGUACAUAUGGACAGAAACAGUAGCCACAAAAGCCACGAAACUCUUGUCAUGCCUUGCUGCUAACGGAAGAUUUAGAAAAGGAGGGAAGUGUGGAGGUACAUGUCAUUGACUUCCCAUUUUUGCAAUGAAAGCUCUGUAAAUAGUUGCUUUAACCUAAGAUCUAAAAUUCUUAGAGGGUACAUUAAAGACAGAACUUAUGGGACACUAUGCUAUCUAAAUAAAUCCAGUAUUUUCCAACAAUGCAAAAACUCAAGAGCGAACUGUGAACACUGAUUUUCUCCAUCCCAGUCCAACUUCUAUGCUUCAGAGCUCUGUUUUAGAUUAGGUUUAGAACUGGAAAGUCUCCAUGAGAAAGAGCAGAUGACUGAGGCACGGAUUCUGCCAGAUGCUGAUUUAGUCUGGACCCAAUCCAGAAAAGCACUUUAGCUUCACACUUAACUUUAAGCAUGCAAAUAGCCCAAGAAUUAUCAUAUGCUUAAAGGUACCCCAGGAUCUGAGCUGCAGCAUUCAGCACACUGCAGUUUUGAGCACUAAUUGAUCUGAGUCAGCCACCUUGGAACACAUGCAGCUGCAAAACUGCUCUUACAGCCACAGACUUGUGCAAGUGCAACAAGGGUAAAACAACAGAGCCAGAGCCCAGCAUCUUCUCCAAGGGUAGCCAAUUGUCUGUCUGUGAAUCUAGAGCAGAACAGCUUUGGUAGCUUCUCAGGGAUCAGCAUGGCCAUGUGUAACCAGUAUCACUCGGUAGCAUUGCAGGUGCCUGGGAGGCAUUUAGCAGAUUAAUUGCUGAGAUCUUUGCAUCUCAUUUGAGAAGCGUGCCCCAGUACUGUCUGCUUGAAGGUGAAGUGGGCAGGGGUGUGCAGAAGGAAGGAGAUGUUCCUGCCCUUCUCAGCUCAGCAGCAUGGCUGGGGACCCCAGUGGGUGAGGAAGUGCCCGUGCUUCAAGUUGAGGCAGGAAGGUGCUACAGGCACCCUGACACUCACCAUCAGGGCAGCUACCCCUGGCCAUGGCUGGCCUCUUGAAUCAUGCAGCUGCUUAGCUCCUGCUGCUGGAAGAGUGGCCAAGGCUGGCAGUACAAAGUACUCUCCAAGUGCUAAGCAUUCUAAUCAACCUGGCAUCCUGUCAGCUGUGUGUGCUUCACAGGACCCCUCUUGCUCUGAACUGCUCUUAGACUUCCUCAGUACUGAAGGAGACAGAGGUUUUUGACCCAAAAUUCUUUGGAGCGUUUUAAAUGGGGUAAGUGACAUCAUUGUCAGAAUCCCAGCAUUUAUAAACAGCAGAGAGCUAAAAAUGAUCCCAGGGCCGUGGAAUUCUAAGCAUGCAAACAACCAGCAGCAGCUUGGGAACCGUGGGCAGAAUGCUGUGUAUGAUUGCAGCAUCCCUCCAUAAAGCUCCCUGCUAUUCCAAGGGAUCGCACUCAGAUUGCAUCAGAC
Molecule: long non-coding RNA, 3569 nt
Organism: Lagopus muta (rock ptarmigan)
Lineage: Eukaryota; Metazoa; Chordata; Aves; Galliformes; Phasianidae
Exons: 4
Source: RefSeq, a predicted model, not a curated record